Molecule: ribosomal RNA, 506 nt
Filed under: uncultured bacterium
Lineage: Bacteria
Description: partial 16S ribosomal RNA
Rfam family: Bacterial small subunit ribosomal RNA
Source: RNAcentral
GGUGAACGCUGGCGGUAGGCCUAACACAUGCAAGUCGAACGGCAGCACAGGAGAGCUUGCUCUCUGGGUGGCGAGUGGCGGACGGGUGAGGAGUACAUCGGAAUCUACUCUGUCGUGGGGGAUAACGUAGGGAAACUUACGCUAAUACCGCAUACGACCUACGGGUGAAAGCAGGGGACCUUCGGGCCUUGCGCGAUUGAAUGAGCCGAUGUCGGAUUAGCUAGUUGGCGGGGUAAAGGCCCACCAAGGCGACGGUCCGUAGCUGGUCUGAGAGGAUGAUCAGCCACAAUGGAACGGAGACACGGGCCAGACUCCUACGGGAGGCAGCAGUGGGGAAUAUUGGACAAUGGGCGCAAGCCUGAUCCAGCCAUACCGCGUGGGUGAAGAAGGCCUUCGGGUUGUAAAGCCCUUUUGUUGGGAAAGAAAUCCAGCUGGCUAAUACCCGGUUGGGAUGACGGUACCCAAAGAAUAAGCACCGGCAAACUUCGUGCCAGCAGCCGCCGUAA